AUACGGAGGGUGCGAGCGUUAAUCGGAAUUACUGGGCGUAAAGCGUGCGUAGGUGGUUAUUUAAGCAAGAUGUGAAAGCCCAGGGCUCAACCUUGGAACUGCAUUUUGAACUGGAUGGCUAGAGUAUUGUAGAGGGUGGUGGAAUUUCCAGUGUAGCGGUGAAAUGAGUAGAGAUUGGAAGGAACAUCAGUGGCGAAGGCGGCCACCUGGACAACUACUGACACUGAGGCACGAAAGCGUGGGGAGCGAACAGAAUUAGAAACCCCUGUAGUCC
This 274-nucleotide ribosomal RNA is filed under the name uncultured bacterium. Its description in RNAcentral is "partial 16S ribosomal RNA". It matches the Rfam family "Bacterial small subunit ribosomal RNA", at positions 523 to 796 of the family's 1533-position model. The record is from RNAcentral.